Manis javanica (Malayan pangolin) is the source of this 469-nucleotide non-coding RNA. The record is from RefSeq and is a predicted model, not a curated record. Lineage: Eukaryota; Metazoa; Chordata; Mammalia; Pholidota; Manidae.
UGAGUUAGGACCACACCAGAUGCUGACGGGCCAGGCAGGACUCGAAUGCCCUCUCAGUUAUGUGUGGCUUAGCUUGCAGAGAUCAGCAUGGUCCCCAGUGGUGACCUCCUGUUGUCCCAUAGGUUUUCUCUGCAUCGGCCAAACAGCAACUGUUGCCAGCUGGUCCAGGACUAGAACACGAGCCCCUCGUGGCCGCUCCUUCCUGCCAUCCAGACUUCCUCAGAGAAGCCUUCCCUGAGCAUCACGGGAUCUGCAUUUCUAGCUCUCCGGCUCUGCAUCCUUUCCUCUCUCCCGGAAUUUGAACUCGCCUGCCUCCUGAUAACCGGGGACGUGUGUCCCAAGGACUUCCCAGGACAGUCUGCACCUGCGCACUCCGACUUCCUUCCUCUCCUCCCCUCGCUCUUCUUCCCUUCGAUGUUUAUUAGGCACCUAUUUAUGUGCUAGGCCCUGGGAGAAUAAAGAUACAUAA